AAACAAAAACAAUACGACUCUUAGCGGUGGAUCACUCGGCUCGUGCGUCGAUGAAGAACGCAGCUAGCUGCGAGAAC
RNAcentral lists this ribosomal RNA (77 nucleotides) under Lepidiolamprologus elongatus. RNAcentral's name for it is "partial 5.8S ribosomal RNA". The stretch from base 16 to 77 matches the Rfam family "5.8S ribosomal RNA", at positions 1 to 62 of the family's 154-position model. Rfam says of the family: 5.8S ribosomal RNA (5.8S rRNA) is a component of the large subunit of the eukaryotic ribosome. It is transcribed by RNA polymerase I as part of the 45S precursor that also contains 18S and 28S rRNA. Functionally, it is thought that 5.8S rRNA may be involved in ribosome translocation. Lineage: Eukaryota; Metazoa; Chordata; Actinopteri; Cichliformes; Cichlidae. The record is from RNAcentral.